UACGUAGGUGGCAAGCGUUAUCCGGAUUUACUGGGUGUAAAGGGCGUGUAGGCGGGUCUGCAAGUCAGAUGUGAAAUCUCCGGGCUUAACUCGGAAGUGUCAUCUGAAACUACGGAUCUUGAGUACUGGAGAGGAUAGUGGAAUUCCUAGUGUAGCGGUAAAAUGCGUAGAUAUUAGGAGGAACACCAGUGGCGAAGGCGGCUAUCUGGACAGUAACUGACGCUGAGGCGCGAAAGCGUGGGGAGCAAACAGGAUUAGAUACCCU
This 265-nucleotide ribosomal RNA is filed under the name uncultured prokaryote. RNAcentral describes it as "partial 16S ribosomal RNA". It matches the Rfam family "Bacterial small subunit ribosomal RNA", at positions 524 to 788 of the family's 1533-position model. The record is from RNAcentral.